Molecule: non-coding RNA, 107 nt
Organism: Loa loa (African eye worm)
Lineage: Eukaryota; Metazoa; Nematoda; Chromadorea; Rhabditida; Onchocercidae
Source: Rfam
AUCGGUUGUAGGUACCAAAAACCUAUUUGGGUAUGCUGGUCGGUUCAAUUUGUGCAUUAAUGGGAGUUCUAACAAUUGCACUUCCAGUGCCAGUCAUUGUCUCCAAU